Small nucleolar RNA from Nannospalax galili (Upper Galilee mountains blind mole rat), 65 nucleotides. NCBI's taxonomy places the organism in Eukaryota, Metazoa, Chordata, Mammalia, Rodentia, Spalacidae. The record is from Ensembl.
CAAGGGAUCCUUCUGACUCCCCACUGUGGACUCAGUAGCAGGGAGAUGAAGAGGAUAUUAACUGA